Molecule: ribosomal RNA, 323 nt
Filed under: uncultured bacterium
Lineage: Bacteria
Description: bacterial SSU rRNA
Rfam family: Bacterial small subunit ribosomal RNA
Source: RNAcentral
GACGAACGCUGGCGGCGUGCUUAACACAUGCAGGUCGAACGAAGCGCUUAAACGGAUUUCUUCGGAAUGAAGUUUUUGCGACUGAGUGGCGGACGGGUGAGUAACGCGUGGGUACCCGCCUCAUACAGGGGGAUAACAGUUAGAAAUGACUGCUAAUACCGCAUAAGCGCACAGUGCUGCAUGGCACAGUGUGAAAAACUCCGGUGGUACGAGAUGGACCCGCGCCUGAUUAGCUGGUUGGUGAGGUAACGGCCCACCAAGGCGACGAUCAGUAGCCGACCUGAGAGGGUGAUCGGCCACAUUGGGACUGAGACACGGCCCAA